AUUGAACGCUGGCGGCAUGCUUUACACAUGCAAGUCGAACGGCAGCGCGGGCUUCGGCCUGGCGGCGAGUGGCGAACGGGUGAGUAAUACAUCGGAACGUGCCCAGUAGUGGGGGAUAGCUCGGCGAAAGCCGGAUUAAUACCGCAUACGACCUGAGGGUGAAAGCGGGGGAUCUUCGGACCUCGCGCUAUUGGAGCGGCCGAUGGCAGAUUAGCUAGUUGGUGGGGUAAAGGCCUACCAAGGCGACGAUCGGUAGCUGGUCUGAGAGGACGACCAGCCACACUGGGACUGAGACGCGGCCCAGACUCCUACGGGAGGCAGCAGUGGGGAAUUUUGGACAAUGGGCGAAAGCAUGAUCCAGCAAUGCCGCGUGUGUGAUGAAGGCCUUCGGGUUGUAAAGCACUUUUGGCGGGAACGAAAAGGACUGUGCCAAUACCACGGUUCGAUGACGGUACCCGCAGAAUAAGCACCGGCUAACUACGUG
This 484-nucleotide ribosomal RNA is filed under the name uncultured bacterium. RNAcentral describes it as "partial 16S ribosomal RNA". It matches the Rfam family "Bacterial small subunit ribosomal RNA", at positions 29 to 507 of the family's 1533-position model. The record is from RNAcentral.